AGGUAAGACCUGCCCGAUGUAAUUAUCAAUGGCCGCGGUAUUCUGACCGUGCGAAGGUAGCAUAAUCAUUAGUCUCCUAAUUAGAGGCUGGUAUGAAUGGUCAAACGAGAAAAUAGCUGUCUCUCACGCAAUAAUCGAAUUUCAUUUUUAAGUGAAAAAGCUUAAAUUAAUCUGAAGGACGAUAAGACCCUAUAGAGCUUUACUUCAACAAAAUACAAACUACCUAGAAAUUAUAACUAUUAUUUAGUAGAAGUUACGUUGGGGCGACGACAAGACAACAAAUAACUCUUCAUUUUUCUAACAACAAAGAUUGAAAAAUUGAUCCUUUAAGCAAGAUCAAAUGAACAAGUUACCUUAGGGAUAACAGCGUAAUCCUUUUUAAGAGUUCUCAUCAACAAAAGGGUUUGCGACCUCGAUGUUGGAUUAAGAGUUCACCAAGGUGCAGCAGCUUUGGAGGAUGGUCUGUUCGACCUUUAAUCUCUUAC
Molecule: ribosomal RNA, 485 nt
Filed under: Eoleptestheria cf. ticinensis MCZ IZ 50108
Lineage: Eukaryota; Metazoa; Arthropoda; Branchiopoda; Diplostraca; Leptestheriidae
Description: partial large subunit ribosomal RNA
Rfam family: Bacterial large subunit ribosomal RNA
Source: RNAcentral